RNAcentral lists this ribosomal RNA (280 nucleotides) under uncultured Dialister sp. RNAcentral's name for it is "partial 16S ribosomal RNA". It matches the Rfam family "Bacterial small subunit ribosomal RNA", at positions 80 to 339 of the family's 1533-position model. Lineage: Bacteria; Bacillati; Bacillota; Negativicutes; Veillonellales; Veillonellaceae. The record is from RNAcentral.
UUGCUCUUUCCGGAAUUGAGUGGCAAACGGGUGAGUAACACGUAAACAACCUGCCUUCAGGAUGGGGACAACAGACGGAAACGACUGCUAAUACCGAAUAAGUUCCAAGAGCCGCAUGGCCCAUGGAAGAAAAGGUGGCCUCUACCUGUAAGCUAUCGCCUGAAGAGGGGUUUGCGUCUGAUUAGCUGGUUGGAGGGGUAACGGCCCACCAAGUCAGCGAUGGGUAGCCGACCUGAGAGGGUGAUCGGCCACACUGGGACUGAGACACGGUCCAGACUCC